UACGGGGGGAGCAAGCGUUGUUCGGAUUUACUGGGCGUAAAGGGCGCGUAGGCGGCCACCGCAAGUCGACUGUGAAAUCUCCGGGCUUAACCCGGAAAGGUCAGCCGAUACUGCGGGGCUAGAGUGCAGAAGGGGCAACUGGAAUUCUCGGUGUAGCGGUGAAAUGCGUAGAUAUCGGGAGGAACACCAGUAGCGAAGGCGGCUCGCUGGGCCGUUCCUGACGCUGAGACGCGAAAGCUAGGGGAGCGAACAGG
This 254-nucleotide ribosomal RNA is filed under the name uncultured bacterium. Its description in RNAcentral is "partial 16S ribosomal RNA". It matches the Rfam family "Bacterial small subunit ribosomal RNA", at positions 524 to 776 of the family's 1533-position model. The record is from RNAcentral.